GGACUACUAGGGUUUCUAAUCCUGUUUGCUCCCCACGCUUUCGUGCCUCAGCGUCAGUAUCGGGCCAGUGAGCCGCCUUCGCCACUGGUGUUCUUGCGAAUAUCUACGAAUUUCACCUCUACACUCGCAGUUCCACUCACCUCUCCCGAACUCAAGAUCCUCAGUAUCAAAGGCAGUUCUGGAGUUGAGCUCCAGGAUUUCACCCCUGACUUAAAGACCCGCCUACGCACCCUUUACGCCCAGUGAUUCCGAGCAACGCUAGCCCCCUUCGUAUUACCGCGGCUGCUGGCACGAAGUUAGCCGGGGCUUAUUCUUGCGGUACCGUCAUUAUCUUCCCGCACAAAAGAGCUUUACAACCCUAGGGCCUUCAUCACUCACGCGGCAUGGCUGGAUCAGGCUU
This 400-nucleotide unclassified non-coding RNA is filed under the name uncultured fungus. RNAcentral describes it as "sequence contains ITS1". The record is from RNAcentral. Lineage: Eukaryota; Fungi.